AGAGUUUGAUCCUGGCUCAGGAUGAACGCUGGCGGCGUGCCUAAUACAUGCAAGUCGAGCGAACAGACGAGGAGCUUGCUCCUCUGACGUUAGCGGCGGACGGGUGAGUAACACGUGGAUAACCUACCUAUAAGACUGGGAUAACUUCGGGAAACCGGAGCUAAUACCGGAUAAUAUAUUGAACCGCAUGGUUCAAUAGUGAAAGACGGUUUUGCUGUCACUUAUAGAUGGAUCCGCGCCGCAUUAGCUAGUUGGUAAGGUAACGGCUUACCAAGGCGACGAUGCGUAGCCGACCUGAGAGGGUGAUCGGCCACACUGGAACUGAGACACGGUCCAGACUCCUACGGGAGGCAGCAGUAGGGAAUCUUCCGCAAUGGGCGAAAGCCUGACGGAGCAGCGCCGCGUGAGUGAUGAAGGUCUUCGGAUCGUAAAACUCUGUUAUUAGGGAAGAACAAAUGUGUAAGUAACUAUGCACGUCUUGACGGUACCUAAUCAGAAAGCCACGGCUAACUACGUGCCAGCAGCCGCGGUAAUACGUAGGUGGCAAGCGUUAUCCGGAAUUAUUGGGCGUAAAGCGCGCGUAGGCGGUUUUUUAAGUCUGAUGUGAAAGCCCACGGCUCAACCGUGGAGGGUCAUUGGAAACUGGAAAACUUGAGUGCAGAAGAGGAAAGUGGAAUUCCAUGUGUAGCGGUGAAAUGCGCAGAGAUAUGGAGGAACACCAGUGGCGAAGGCGACUUUCUGGUCUGUAACUGACGCUGAUGUGCGAAAGCGUGGGGAUCAAACAGGAUUAGAUACCCUGGUAGUCCACGCCGUAAACGAUGAGUGCUAAGUGUUAGGGGGUUUCCGCCCCUUAGUGCUGCAGCUAACGCAUUAAGCACUCCGCCUGGGGAGUACGACCGCAAGGUUGAAACUCAAAGGAAUUGACGG
RNAcentral lists this ribosomal RNA (927 nucleotides) under uncultured bacterium. Its description in RNAcentral is "bacterial SSU rRNA". It matches the Rfam family "Bacterial small subunit ribosomal RNA", at positions 8 to 916 of the family's 1533-position model. The record is from RNAcentral.